This is a long non-coding RNA of Gossypium raimondii (Peruvian cotton), 638 nucleotides long. RefSeq lists it as uncharacterized. Lineage: Eukaryota; Viridiplantae; Streptophyta; Magnoliopsida; Malvales; Malvaceae. The record is from RefSeq and is a predicted model, not a curated record. The transcript is spliced from 2 exons.
UUGCGCGUUGCACCCUUAUUUCUCAUUUUCUUUCAUUUUCACGAAACUUUUCCAUUUUUCUUUGUUUUUUUCCUUUUUAUCUUAGCCGGCUCUACUGGGUUCUCCGAUCUCUGACGGCGGAGCACCAUACGUGGUAGCCUGAAACUGCAAAUUUCUUUUUUUAUUAUUAUAUUUUGAAAGCUUCUGUUUAAGUUUGUUUUAUUUUUAGGACUCCUAACAAAUUAUUGUAAAAAAAAUACUUUUCAAAUCUGAAAUUUCUAGACCUAAUGAGGAAGAAGGGAGAAAGAAAAAAAGAGAAAGAGAACAAAAAAAAGGAAUGUGAAAAAGAAAGGGAAAAAAAAAAGAAAAGAAAAGGGGGUCAUGGCACCCUGCACGCCCGAGAACUGGUGGUCCGAUGAUGCGUUAUUCGUCAGGGGCCCCGUUUAUUGCGUGCGUGAGGGAAAGUUAUAUAUGGCGUUCUUUAAUCUUGCAUUAAUCUGUUUUACAAAUGUGUUUAGUUCUCUUCUUUAAUCUGUUAUUUGUUCGAUAAUGCUCUCAAAAUGUGUUUGUUGUUUUACUCUUUUGACCUUUUUACUGCUCUUUGUACAUUAUUGUACUCUCAAUUUCGAUUAGUUGAAAGUUUGCAUCUUUUUUAUGUA